This is a non-coding RNA of Kwoniella sp. DSM 27419, 81 nucleotides long. NCBI's taxonomy places the organism in Eukaryota, Fungi, Basidiomycota, Tremellomycetes, Tremellales, Cryptococcaceae. The record is from the annotation of a GenBank genome assembly.
GGCGACUUGCGAUAGUGGUUAUUCGGUGAGUUUAGAAAGCUCAUGACUUCGGUCUCGUAGGUUCGAGUCCUACAGUCGUCG